AUGACAAAGUCAUGGUUAAUAUAAGGUAGGUAUGUUAAAUUGAGUUAGGUGAGUGAGACUUGGAUAUAUGGUAAGGUACGGUAAAUAAAGAAAGAAACUAAUGAUAGAGGUAAGAGAUAUGGUUAGGUCAAGUGUAUAUAUAAAUAGAGUAGGCUUGCUAAAGUAGUCUGGGUUUACAUGGGUUUGUCAAUUCAUUAGGUGAAAGACAGAUUACAUAUGGUAGGUGAGUUGUUCAUGAAAUUAUUUAAGGUAAAGGUGGGCAGUGAAUAAAGUGAGGGUAGAAAUUGUGUUAGGAAGAACAAUGUUGGUAAGAAAUGUCAGCUUGAACUGAGGUCAGAAUUAUGAUUCCAGAGGUAGGAUUUUUAAGUGAAAAGUUAUGGUUACGAAAGUAUGACAGGUAAGGAAGGGAAGGGAAGAAUGAGAUGCGGAAAGUUUGUUAGGAAUAAUUUAUGUCGAGCAGUGAAGAUUUAGUAAGGUAGGAAAUGGCUAUUUGCUCAAGAAAUAAUAUAGAAGUACAUGCAAGAAUAAACAUCAAGAAUAAACAUACAUAACAGUAAAGGUAGGUAAUCGUCAGAGGUCAGAUAACUGAUGUGCAAGUUAUUAUAAUGUGCAGACAUAUAAUUUCCACCACAUGUAGUUUUUUUUUUUUUUUUUUUUGUUAAUCUACCAGUGAUGAGUGCAAGAGCAGGUUAUAGGAAUGUGUAUAGACUUGAAAAUAAAAAAAAAAAAACAGUAAGAAUUUUUAAGUUCAGCUUAUCAACUUAAUUUGAUGAACAAAGUCAUGUUUGAUAGAGUUAGCUAGAUUUGGUGAGAAAAA
This is a long non-coding RNA of Portunus trituberculatus (swimming crab), 817 nucleotides long. RefSeq lists it as uncharacterized. The transcript is spliced from 2 exons. The record is from RefSeq and is a predicted model, not a curated record. NCBI's taxonomy places the organism in Eukaryota, Metazoa, Arthropoda, Malacostraca, Decapoda, Portunidae.